Molecule: long non-coding RNA, 603 nt
Organism: Chrysoperla carnea
Lineage: Eukaryota; Metazoa; Arthropoda; Insecta; Neuroptera; Chrysopidae
Exons: 3
Source: RefSeq, a predicted model, not a curated record
UACGGGUUGUAUUACAAUAUUCAAACAGCAGCCACAGAGCACCUAAGCUAAGUAACAAACAAACUAAACGAGUCAGUCUGGCAAACCAGCGUUGUUUGUCCGUUCGCCGGUAGUACAUCGUUCGUUGAAAAUAUACCGUUGUCGUUUUGUAUGUUUGUUUUUGCGAUGUAUAAUACAAUUUAUAAAGUAUUAGUUGGUAAAAUAUACACGAAAAAGUACUCAACUUGUGUCAGUGUUUUAUGGUGAUCAGUGUUUAAAACUUCUGUGUUGUAUAUUCCAAGACGGUUAGUACAAAACUGUGCGAUUAUUGGCUAUACGGUCUGUUUUUUAGUGGAAAUUAGAAAGUUUUGCAACAUUCUCUCCUACAAUAUUAUUGUGAUAGUGAAUCGUCGUUUCCCACCUGUCAUAUUUCAACAGAUUUUCCGGCGAUAAAACGUGAAGCUAUAAUCAACGACAUAAAAUCAUCAUAAGUUUACAUCAAAUUUAUAAAAUAUAAACAAAGAUAAAAAUUUAAUCGAAAAAAAAAAAAAAAAUUAAAAUUAGCCACAUGUAUUUCCAAGUGUAAUAUGUGAAAAUAAAAUGUUUUAUGACAAUGAUGGAUAA